AUUGAACGCUGGCGGCAGGCCUAACACAUGCAAGUCGAACGGUAACAGGAAACAGCUUGCUGUUUCGCUGACGAGUGGCGGACGGGUGAGUAAUGUCUGGGAAACUGCCUGAUGGAGGGGGAUAACUACUGGAAACGGUAGCUAAUACCGCAUAACGUCGCAAGACCAAAGAGGGGGACCUUCGGGCCUCUUGCCAUCGGAUGUGCCCGGAUGGGAUUAGCUAGUAGGUGGGGUAACGGCUCACCUAGGCCACGAUCCCUAGCUGGUCUGAGAGUAUGACCGACCACACUGGAACUGAGACACGGUCCAGACUCCUACGGGAGGCAGCAGUGGGGAAUAUUGCACAAUGGGCGCAAGCCUGAUGCAGCCAUGCCGCGUGUAUGAAGAAGGCCUUCGGGUUGUAAAGUACUUUCAGCGGGGAGGAAGGGAGUAAAGUCAAUACCUUUGCUCAUUGACGUUACCCGCAGAAGAAGCACCGGCUAACUCCGUGCCAGCCGCCGCAGUAA
This 506-nucleotide ribosomal RNA is filed under the name uncultured bacterium. Its description in RNAcentral is "partial 16S ribosomal RNA". It matches the Rfam family "Bacterial small subunit ribosomal RNA", at positions 30 to 523 of the family's 1533-position model. The record is from RNAcentral.